This 687-nucleotide ribosomal RNA is filed under the name uncultured bacterium. RNAcentral describes it as "bacterial SSU rRNA". It matches the Rfam family "Bacterial small subunit ribosomal RNA", at positions 8 to 722 of the family's 1533-position model. The record is from RNAcentral.
AGAGUUUGAUCAUGGCUCAGAGCGAACGCUAGCGGCGGGCCUAACACAUGCAAGUCGAGCGCGUGACUUCGGUCACGAGCGGCGGACGGGUGAGUAACACGUAGGUAAUUUACCCUCUGGUGGGGAAUAACCCGGGGAAACCCAGGCUAAUACCGCAUAUGGCCGUAGAUUUGGUUCUACGGUCAAAGCCUUCGGGCGCCAUUGGAUGAGCCUGCGUCGCAUUACCUAGUUGGUAGGGUAAUGGCCUACCAAGGGGACGAUGCGUAGCUGGUCUGAGAGGAUGAUCAGCCACACUGGGACUGAGACACGGCCCAGACUCCUACGGGAGGCAGCAGUGGGGAAUAUUGGGCAAUGGGCGAAAGCCUGACCCAGCUACGCCGCGUGGGUGAUGAAGGCCUUCGGGUUGUAAAGCCCUGUCGGGAGGGACGAAGUUCUGACGGUACCUCCCAAGAAAGCACCGGCUAACUCCGUGCCAGCAGCCGCGGUAAUACGGAGGGUGCGAGCGUUGCUCGGAAUUAUUGGGCGUAAAGCGUACGCAGGCUGUUCGUUAAGUCGGGUGUGAAAGCCCGGGGCUCAACCCCGGAAUUGCGCCCGAUACUGGCGAGCUUGAGUGCGGGAGAGGGAAGCGGAAUUCCUGGUGUAGAGGUGAAAUUCGUAGAUAUCAGGAGGAACACCGGUGGCGAAAGC